GCGAGGAGGCUUUCGACUGAGGGCUAGCGAGGGGAGCAGGGCUGGAGCAGGGCUGAAGCAGGGCCGCGGACCCCGCACGCUCCUGCGGGCCCCGCGGAGCCAUUGCGGCCGAGGCCUCGGCCGGCGCCAGCAAAGAGCUAGCCGCAUCUUCGGGGGCAGCCGGGCAGCGGCCGGCGGCGCGGCGAGAGAGCGACUGACAAGAGGGGAUGCGAGGUCCUCCAGUAGCCUGACCUGA
This 235-nucleotide long non-coding RNA is filed under the name Theropithecus gelada (gelada). RNAcentral's name for it is "lncRNA (ENSTGEG00000027976.1)". Lineage: Eukaryota; Metazoa; Chordata; Mammalia; Primates; Cercopithecidae. The record is from RNAcentral.